RNAcentral lists this ribosomal RNA (468 nucleotides) under uncultured bacterium. Its description in RNAcentral is "partial 16S ribosomal RNA". It matches the Rfam family "Bacterial small subunit ribosomal RNA", at positions 28 to 507 of the family's 1533-position model. The record is from RNAcentral.
GACGAACGCUGGCGGCGUGCUUAACACAUGCAAGUCGAACGGAAAGGCCCUGCUUUUGUGGGGUGCUCGAGUGGCGAACGGGUGAGUAACACGUGAGUAACCUGCCCUUGACUUUGGGAUAACUUCAGGAAACUGGGGCUAAUACCGGAUAGGAGCUCCUGCUGCAUGGUGGGGGUUGGAAAGUUUCGGCGGUUGGGGAUGGACUCGCGGCUUAUCAGCUUGUUGGUGGGGUAGUGGCUUACCAAGGCUUUGACGGGUAGCCGGCCUGAGAGGGUGACCGGCCACAUUGGGACUGAGAUACGGCCCAGACUCCUACAGGAGGCAGCAGUGGGGAAUAUUGCACAAUGGGCGGAAGCCUGAUGCAGCAACGCCGCGUGCGGGAUGACGGCCUUCGGGUUGUAAACCGCUUUCGCCUGUGACGAAGCGUGAGUGACGGUAAUGAAUAAAGAAGCACCGGCUAACUACGUG